Non-coding RNA from Manis javanica (Malayan pangolin), 698 nucleotides. The record is from RefSeq and is a predicted model, not a curated record. NCBI's taxonomy places the organism in Eukaryota, Metazoa, Chordata, Mammalia, Pholidota, Manidae.
AGAACAGAAAAGUAGCAGACAGUUUAAUAGAGAGGGAGAGAGGAGUGCGGUCGAUCUGUUACCGUGCAAGACACCCGACAAAGAAGUACAGACUGCAGAACCGCAUGUGUGUACGGACCCAGACAGGUGGCAGUGAAACCCGCUGUUGGGAGCCAGGGUAGUUUUCCCCCAGGGUGGUGACUACCAGGAGGUAUCACCACUCCAGAUGCAGGCAACAAAACCAAACCAGAGAAACUGCUAUGACUGAUGCACAGUGAUAUCAAGAAUUAGGCUUCUAACUUUCUGCCCUUCUGUACUCAGCAUGUUACUUCCACAUGGAGGGAGGUCACCUCAGAGUCCAAGAUAACUGCUGGAGCUCCAACCAUCACAUUUACCUUCUAGAUGGUAGAAUAAGAACAGUGAAGAAGGGAAAUGUCCUAGAAGUCCCACAAAACACUUUCAUCCCCGUUUCAUUGGCUGGAUGUCAGUCUAACAGCCACCCUGAACUGGAAAGGAGACUGGGAAUUGUAGUCUUUUAGCAGUUGGCAAUAUGUCCAGCUAAAAACUGGAAUGCUGUUACUAAGGAAGAAAAAUAGAAUGGAUAAUGGAGACUACCAACAGAAUCGGCCAUCAAAAGUUUUUCUGAAGUAAGAUGCAAUGAGCACAAAUGUGGAAAAUAUUGACAGGUAUGACUAAAUUAAAGUCUAAAAUUUAAAAAA